RNAcentral lists this ribosomal RNA (486 nucleotides) under uncultured bacterium. RNAcentral describes it as "bacterial SSU rRNA". It matches the Rfam family "Bacterial small subunit ribosomal RNA", at positions 19 to 518 of the family's 1533-position model. The record is from RNAcentral.
CUGGCUCAGGAUGAACGCUGGCGGCGUGCUUAACACAUGCAAGUCGAACGGAGUUAAAUGAACCUAGUGAUUUAAACUUAGUGGCGGACGGGUGAGUAACGCGUGGGUAACCUGCCUUAUACCGGGGGACAACAGUUAGAAAUGACUGCUAAUACCGCAUAAGCGCACGGUGUCGCAUGACACAGUGUGAAAAACUCCGGUGGUAUAAGAUGGACCCGCGUCUGAUUAGCCAGUUGGUGAGGUAACGGCCCACCAAAGCAACGAUCAGUAGCCGGCCUGAGAGGGUGAACGGCCACAUUGGGACUGAGACACGGCCCAAACUCCUACGGGAGGCAGCAGUGGGGAAUAUUGGACAAUGGGGGAAACCCUGAUCCAAGCGACGCCGCGUGAGUGAAGAAGUAUUUCGGUAUGUAAAGCUCUAUCAGCAAGGAAGAUAAUGACGGUACUUGACUAAGAAGCCCCGGCUAACUACGUGCCAGCCGCCGC